This 487-nucleotide ribosomal RNA is filed under the name uncultured Bay of Fundy bacterium BA10-1E. RNAcentral describes it as "bacterial SSU rRNA". It matches the Rfam family "Bacterial small subunit ribosomal RNA", at positions 355 to 845 of the family's 1533-position model. The record is from RNAcentral. Lineage: Bacteria; Pseudomonadati; Bacteroidota.
AGGGGGAAAUUGACAUGGAGGCAACUCUGAUCCAGCCAUGCCGCGUGCAGGAUGACGGCCCUACGGGUUGUAAACUGCUUUUAUACGGGAAUAAACCCCUCUACGUGUAGAGGGCUGAAGGUCCGUACGAAUAAAGAUCGGCUAACUCCGUGCCAGCAGCCCGCGGUNAUACGGAGGAUCCAAGCCGUUAUCCGGAUUUAUUGGGUUUAAAGGGUCCGCAGGCNGGCUUUUAAGUCARUGGUGAAAUGCUGCGCUUAACSAUAGCACUGSCAUUGAUWCUGAAAGUCUUGAGUAUAGUUGAGGUAGGCGGAAUAGGUCAUGUAGCGGUGAAAUGCAUAGAUAUGACCUAUAACACCGAUUGCGAAGGCAGCUUACUAAGCUAUAACUGACGCUNAGGGACCAAAGCGUGGGUWGCAAACAGGAUUUGAUACCCUGGUAGUUCACGCUGUAAACGAUGAUCACUCCUGUUGGCGAUAUACAAUCAGCG